This 425-nucleotide ribosomal RNA is filed under the name uncultured bacterium. RNAcentral describes it as "partial 16S ribosomal RNA". It matches the Rfam family "Bacterial small subunit ribosomal RNA", at positions 354 to 796 of the family's 1533-position model. The record is from RNAcentral.
GUGGGGAAUAUUGGACAAUGGGCGAAAGCCUGAUCCAGCAAUGCCGCGUGAGUGAUGAAGGCCUUAGGGUUGUAAAGCUCUUUUACCAGGGAUGAUAAUGACAGUACCUGGAGAAUAAGCUCCGGCUAACUCCGUGCCAGCAGCCGCGGUAAUACGGAGGGAGCUAGCGUUGUUCGGAAUUACUGGGCGUAAAGCGCACGUAGGCGGUUACUCAAGUCAGAGGUGAAAGCCCGGGGCUCAACCCCGGAACUGCCUUUGAAACUAGGUAACUAGAAUCUUGGAGAGGUCAGUGGAAUUCCGAGUGUAGAGGUGAAAUUCGUAGAUAUUCGGAUGAACACCAGUGGCGAAGGCGACUGACUGGACAAGUAUUGACGCUGAGGUGCGAAAGCGUGGGGAGCAAACAGGAUUAGAUACCCUUGUAGUCC